Molecule: long non-coding RNA, 399 nt
Organism: Cajanus cajan (pigeon pea)
Lineage: Eukaryota; Viridiplantae; Streptophyta; Magnoliopsida; Fabales; Fabaceae
Source: RefSeq, a predicted model, not a curated record
UCAUCUCUACAUCAUUUCAUGGAGAAGGAACCCAUCAGGUUAUCUUCCGCCUGUUCCUGAAUUGGGAAAAAGGCCUGUCAAAACACCGCGAGAUGGCAAAGGGUGGAAGGCGCGGCGAGAUUGACGGAAAAUAUCUCAAGUGCAACCUCUACUCCCGCUUUGAUGUUUAAUUUUCAACGAACAAAUCACGACUGUGAGCCCAAGCCCGAUUCCCCAGUUUCCUCCGACACCAAACAAUGUCGUUGUGGCCAUGGCGCUUGCGAAGUCAAAACCUCACGGAGUGGCAGGAACUUCUAUGCCUACCCCAUCAAAAGGGUAUGAUUCCUGUUAAGUUUUUUGAUAUAAGAAAAUAUAGAUUGAUAGACAUUAAAACUAUUUUAUAUAACAUUAAUUUACUGG